Meleagris gallopavo (turkey) is the source of this 1227-nucleotide non-coding RNA. The record is from RefSeq and is a predicted model, not a curated record. Lineage: Eukaryota; Metazoa; Chordata; Aves; Galliformes; Phasianidae.
GAGCCUGGAGUCCAGUGGUACUAGAAGGAAACCACAGCACAGCUGGAAGAGGCAGAAUGUGAGAAAUCCAUGGAUACAGGCGCUGACAUUCCCUACAGUGAAGAGGGCAUCCAGACAUGCUGGAAGAAGAUCACAGCCCCAUUUUCUACAAUUCCUAGUUCCUGCCUGAUCAUUCUCAUUAGCUGCUCCUUUCCCAGGACCUCCUCCAGCUAUGUACCCCUUCCUCCUCCAAUCUCUCCAGGCCUUCCUUCCUUAUCUCUGCAGCCCCUUCCUGCUCAUGUCCUGCUGGCAGCCCUAGCUGGCUCCUCCAGCUAAUCCCUUCAGCUGAUGACUGAGUGACUUCCUCAAGAUCUCCUGGCUAUAGCAGGACCCAUGGAGCAACCGGAGAGCAAGAAGUCUGUGCAGCUCAAUGGGUGUAGUUGAAAGAAAUCAAUUACCUGCAUGCAACAUUAACAUUUCCUUCCCACUCUGGCAUGAUUGCCUUUGGUGGAGGUGCCCCCAAGAACAACCAACUGCAGAGCACAAGUCAAACAUAUUUCAGGCCUGCCCACCAGCUUCUCAUGCAGCAUGGUUCUUUCUCUUGGCAGUGAGGCCUGUGACUGCCAGUGAACAUGAAGAUACCUCUUGGUCCUGCACACAGCAGGAGGGAUUCCAAUUCAUACCAGCCAGUGGACAUUCUUCCAGGCCUCAACCUGGUUUGUACAAGUGGUUGACCUUCUUACAUGGCUUCCUGCAGCCCAAGCUCCACUGAGCAUCUCACUGGAGAAGAACCAGAUCAGCUAACCAGACAGGAAUGAACUCUACUGCAGCUGAAUAUAAAACACAGCACAAUCAAAAAGAGAAGAGGCAGAAUGAGAGCAAUCCCUGGAUACAGAAUGUCCUGCAAAGUAAUGUGUGGGCAUGGUACUGCAAUGCUGACAUUUCCUAUGGAGGAGAAGCGUUUCAGGCAUGCUGAAAAUAGAACCAUCUUGAGAAAGGGAUCGUGCAGCUGCCUGUUCUCUGCCAGCCCUUAAGAUACGACUUCUCCACAGUUGGGCUCUAAGGUUUCCUGGUACAAUCCCAAGAACUUCUGAGAUACAUUGUGGAGAUUUGACUUAUCCACUAGGUCAUCUGCUCAACAGGCAAUAAAGUCCUAGUUUACAGAUUCAUCUCAUAAAGAAAUGUUCAAUAUUAGGAACUUCUAAUUUGAAGUCGUAUCAUUCCUUGAAUUAAAAAACUGUGAUUCUU